RNAcentral lists this ribosomal RNA (1369 nucleotides) under uncultured bacterium. RNAcentral describes it as "bacterial SSU rRNA". It matches the Rfam family "Bacterial small subunit ribosomal RNA", at positions 28 to 1381 of the family's 1533-position model. The record is from RNAcentral.
GACGAACGCUGGCGGCGUGCCUAAUACAUGCAAGUAGAACGCUGAAGAGAGGAGCUUGCUCUUCUUGGAUGAGUUGCGAACGGGUGAGUAACGCGUAGGUAACCUGCCUUGUAGCGGGGGAUAACUAUUGGAAACGAUAGCUAAUACCGCAUAACAAUGGAUGACACAUGUCAUUUAUUUGAAAGGGGCAAUUGCUCCACUACAAGAUGGACCUGCGUUGUAUUAGCUAGUAGGUGAGGUAACGGCUCACCUAGGCGACGAUACAUAGCCGACCUGAGAGGGUGAUCGGCCACACUGGGACUGAGACACGGCCCAGACUCCUACGGGAGGCAGCAGUAGGGAAUCUUCGGCAAUGGGGGCAACCCUGACCGAGCAACGCCGCGUGAGUGAAGAAGGUUUUCGGAUCGUAAAGCUCUGUUGUAAGUCAAGAACGAGUGUGAGAGUGGAAAGUUCACACUGUGACGGUAGCUUACCAGAAAGGGACGGCUAACUACGUGCCAGCAGCCGCGGUAAUACGUAGGUCCCGAGCGUUGUCCGGAUUUAUUGGGCGUAAAGCGAGCGCAGGCGGUUUGAUAAGUCUGAAGUUAAAGGCUGUGGCUCAACCAUAGUUCGCUUUGGAAACUGUCAAACUUGAGUGCAGAAGGGGAGAGUGGAAUUCCAUGUGUAGCGGUGAAAUGCGUAGAUAUAUGGAGGAACACCGGUGGCGAAAGCGGCUCUCUGGUCUGUAACUGACGCUGAGGCUCGAAAGCGUGGGGAGCGAACAGGAUUAGAUACCCUGGUAGUCCACGCCGUAAACGAUGAGUGCUAGGUGUUGGAUCCUUUCCGGGAUUCAGUGCCGCAGCUAACGCAUUAAGCACUCCGCCUGGGGAGUACGACCGCAAGGUUGAAACUCAAAGGAAUUGACGGGGGCCCGCACAAGCGGUGGAGCAUGUGGUUUAAUUCGAAGCAACGCGAAGAACCUUACCAGGUCUUGACAUCCCGAUGCUAUUUCUAGAGAUAGAAAGUUACUUCGGUACAUCGGUGACAGGUGGUGCAUGGUUGUCGUCAGCUCGUGUCGUGAGAUGUUGGGUUAAGUCCCGCAACGAGCGCAACCCCUAUUGUUAGUUGCCAUCAUUCAGUUGGGCACUCUAGCGAGACUGCCGGUAAUAAACCGGAGGAAGGUGGGGAUGACGUCAAAUCAUCAUGCCUCUUAUGACCUGGGCUACACACGUGCUACAAUGGUUGGUACAACGAGUUGCGAGUCGGUGACGGCAAGCUAAUCUCUUAAAGCCAAUCUCAGUUCGGAUUGUAGGCUGCAACUCGCCUACAUGAAGUCGGAAUCGCUAGUAAUCGCGGAUCAGCACGCCGCGGUGAAUACGUUCCCGGGCCU